AACAGCGGAGGGAUCAUUA
This 19-nucleotide ribosomal RNA is filed under the name Neopestalotiopsis clavispora. RNAcentral's name for it is "partial 18S ribosomal RNA". Lineage: Eukaryota; Fungi; Ascomycota; Sordariomycetes; Amphisphaeriales; Sporocadaceae. The record is from RNAcentral.